Molecule: non-coding RNA, 105 nt
Organism: Cordylochernes scorpioides
Lineage: Eukaryota; Metazoa; Arthropoda; Arachnida; Pseudoscorpiones; Chernetidae
Source: the annotation of a GenBank genome assembly
ACCUCCAUACCAAAUUGAAAACAUUAGUUUUCGUCUUAUCACUGAGGUUAAGUAAUGCCAGGCCCGGUCAGUACUUGGGAGAGUGACCACUUGGUGAGGGGUGCU